Molecule: ribosomal RNA, 466 nt
Filed under: uncultured bacterium
Lineage: Bacteria
Description: partial 16S ribosomal RNA
Rfam family: Bacterial small subunit ribosomal RNA
Source: RNAcentral
GACGAACGCUGGCGGCGUGCUUAACACAUGCAAGUCGAACGGAAAGGCCCUGCUUUUGUGGGGUGCUCGAGUGGCGAACGGGUGAGUAACACGUGAGUAACCUGCCCUUGACUUUGGGAUAACUUCAGGAAACUGGGGCUAAUACCGGAUAGGAGCUCCUGCUGCAUGGUGGGGGUUGGAAAGUUUCGGCGGUUGGGGAUGGACUCGCGGCUUAUCAGCUUGUUGGUGGGGUAGUGGCUUACCAAGGCUUUGACGGGUAGCCGGCCUGAGAGGGUGACCGGCCGCAUUGGGACUGAGAUACGGCCCAGACGCCUACGGGAGGCAGCAGUGGGGAAUAUUGCACAAUGGGCGGAAGCCUGAUGCAGCAACGCCGCGUGCGGGAUGACGGCCUUCGGGUUGUAAACCGCUUUCGCCUGUGACGAAGCGUGAGUGACGGUAAUGGGUAAAGAAGCACCGGCUAACUACG